UGUACUUAAGCAUGUUUUUGUUUAACUCGUGGACAAAGACUUAUGGAUAGGUGGAAAAAAUAAAUCUUCUUUUGCAACCCAGGAUUCAUUGUUCAGUAUGAUUUUUGAUAUAUGUAAGAAGGGACAUU
Small nucleolar RNA from Saimiri boliviensis boliviensis (Bolivian squirrel monkey), 128 nucleotides. The record is from Ensembl. NCBI's taxonomy places the organism in Eukaryota, Metazoa, Chordata, Mammalia, Primates, Cebidae.